AACGUAGACAUGGCCGGCGCGGUUGAACGUGUAGUAUCUGUCCUUAUCAUCUUAAUAUCUGAUACGGGUUGUAUUUGGACCCAACAUAUCAAUCUUAUUUUUGCAAGUUGGCGAAGUGCUUGAAGCCUGCUUCACUCCGCCGCGGUUCAUCCCGGUAUAUUGCACUAUCUUCGGGAUUGGCCCACGGUUU
This is a small nuclear RNA of Dermacentor andersoni, 190 nucleotides long. RefSeq annotates it as U2 spliceosomal RNA. Lineage: Eukaryota; Metazoa; Arthropoda; Arachnida; Ixodida; Ixodidae. The record is from RefSeq and is a predicted model, not a curated record.